Long non-coding RNA from Oncorhynchus kisutch (coho salmon), 642 nucleotides. RefSeq lists it as uncharacterized. The transcript has 3 exons. The record is from RefSeq and is a predicted model, not a curated record. NCBI's taxonomy places the organism in Eukaryota, Metazoa, Chordata, Actinopteri, Salmoniformes, Salmonidae.
CUCACAGACGUGUUUUCUCAGAGACAACAUAUUAAGUCUUCCUGGGUAACUUGCUGAGGGGGAUUAGGGUGUUUGUUGAUGUGUUUGCUGCAUUACUGUGUGGUUAUGGGCAGCGUUAUAAGGAUCCAGGAUCAACACAGCUAGGUUCAAUGACAAUCUAGGGUCAACACAGCUCAAUGGCGAUCCAGGUUCAACACAGCUAAUUUACGAUGCAGGUUCAUCACAGAUGUUCUCUGGCUCUUCCCUCUGCUCAGCCGCCAGCUCCAUGUGCCCCCACCCCAAAGAAUCUUGGGGUUUCUGUGGCCGCGGUCCCCGGCAUCAUCGCCGUCCUUCCUGCGUCCUCUGCGACUCCUGCCAAGGAAGGGUCUCCUGUCCUUCAAUGAUUUCUUCCCAGGUCCAACCUAUUUUUCCCAUCAUUGCACGCUGCUUGGUCCUUGUUUGGUGGGAUAUUCUGUCACGGUCUUGGAAAUGAGCGGACCAAGACGCAGCAUUGCAGACGGUAGCAACAAGAUGAAGCACUGUGAUGUGUGUGGACCCAAGAAGGACAGGAAGACACAGUACAAAAUGGUCGCUCAUUUAUCAUUGCUAUAAAAUACUGUAUGUAAAAUUUGUUCAGUUCAAAGCAAUAAACAUCAGCAGUGA